RNAcentral lists this ribosomal RNA (429 nucleotides) under Verrucomicrobiota bacterium. RNAcentral's name for it is "Verrucomicrobia bacterium partial 16S ribosomal RNA". It matches the Rfam family "Bacterial small subunit ribosomal RNA", at positions 355 to 776 of the family's 1533-position model. Lineage: Bacteria; Pseudomonadati; Verrucomicrobiota. The record is from RNAcentral.
UAGGGAAUCUUCGGCAAUGGGGGGAACCCUGACCGAGCAACGCCGCGUGAGUGAAGAAGGUUUUCGGAUCGUAAAGCUCUGUUGUUAAGGAAGAACGAGUGUGAGAAUGGAAAGUUCAUGCUGUGACGGUACUUAACCAGAAAGGGACGGCUAACUACGUGCCAGCAGCCGCGGUAAUACGUAGGUCCCGAGCGUUGUCCGGAUUUAUUGGGCGUAAAGCGAGCGCAGGCGGUUAGAAAAGUCUGAAGUGAAAGGCAGUGGCUGAACCAUGGUAGGGUUUGGAAACUGGUUAACUUGAGUGCAGAAGGGGAGAGUGGAAUUCCAUGUGUGGCGGUGAAAUGCGUGGAUAUAUGGAGGAACACCGGUGGCGAAGGCGGCUCUCUGGUCUGUAACUGACGCUGAGGCUCGAAAGCGUAGGGAGCGAACAGG